RNAcentral lists this long non-coding RNA (2172 nucleotides) under Apis mellifera (honey bee). RNAcentral's name for it is "uncharacterized LOC102656919". The record is from RNAcentral. Lineage: Eukaryota; Metazoa; Arthropoda; Insecta; Hymenoptera; Apidae.
AACCAAUGUUUGUGUAACCAAUUCAUUUUCCAAGCCUGAAUAGAAUAACCAAUUUCGUAUCGAUAACUCGUAAAUUUUUUACGAGUGGGACGAAAUGUUUAAAAAUAUCGCCUCGUGUCAUUAAGCUUGUUUCUUUUUAUCGUUUACUCGUACAAGUCACGAGUUACAAGACUCGUAUUUAAAAUGAUUUAUGUCUCAAACAACUGAAAAAUAAUUAAGGUUAAGUUCACGUAUCUACGCGGAUAAAAAGAUCGAGGAAUCGUAAAAUUUACGAUUCCGUGUAUUUCAUUAUAAUUAUUCACGAUCAAAUCUCGACGAAACAAAACGAGAGAACGAAAUAUUCUUAUACUUUAGAAACGCGUAUCUCUCUCGAAUUAUACUCAACCGUUUCUCCUCUCCCUUUUUCCACCAACCGGAAUCUUCUCUCUUCGAUCGAACCAAGGUAACCAAGGAUCGAUCGACGUUCAACGUCGAGGAGGAUUGAUUCGUCAUCCAUCCAGGGGCCGCUGCUAUCGUGUUUUUUGCCCGCGAUCCCCCGACUAGUCACCAGUCAUCUUCCACGUCGUAGUUUUCGUGUUCUUGUCGACGGACGCCGUCGUGGAUCGGUCCCGGGUCGUUUAAUUAAAUACAGUUUUUCAUACGGUAGGCCGAAUCCGCGGUCGCCCCGCUGGGACGAAGGGAAGACGCGAUGCAGGAUGCGCCGGCAAAUAAAUCAAAAGAUGUAGAGGGCACCGUCUUCCUGGAAGGCAAACACCAAUCGAUGGUGUAAUUAGUGGGGACAUCUUUCCGCUUGAUUUUGGAGAAAAAUUGUCCAGUGGAGUGGAGAUACGAAUAAAACAAAGUCACGAUAGAGAGUAUCGAGUGUUGUAGCAGCAGCAUCGAGAGGAGAAGAGACACAACAAGAUAUAUAUUUUGAGUGGAAGAGACGACACGACACGGGUUACAGGCAUAAACGUCCCGUAACUUGACCUGGACUCGAUCUCUCCAGCAAGGAAUGCGCACCGUGACAACCGAUGCGCGUCUGUUCUUCGUCGAUGGCAUCCACAUGUCACCAAUCCUUGUCCGUUGGCUACCCAACGGUCCCAUGGAUCGUGUACUACUCUGUUAGAAUUGCUUUCGAGCUGUAACUCAUGUCUCCUGCUUCUUUGUUCGGAUUCCAACAUCGGCUGCACACGAUCCAAGCCUCAUUUGAGUACUUCAAUUAACCUGGUUAUCCCAUAUAAUAUUGGAACGAAAUUGCUCUAUGCAAUUAUAUUAUAUUAUAUAAAAAUCGAAAAGAUUAUUAUUAUUAAUUUUGAAAUCUAACUCGAUUUGACAAAAUUGGACAAGGAUUUAAACAAUUUGAAAUUUAAUUUUCAGAAUUGGAAAAGAGUCGAAUAUUCGACCAAAAAUGUACACAGCGGGGCAGAAAAAUUAGCAUUAUCCCCAUAACAACCACGUCGACGAUCCCGUCGAAAAACCGAUCCCGAAAACGAGAGAGAGAGAGAAAAGAAGAAAAACAAACGACAAGGCUCUAUAGAGAGAGACAUCGAUCGGUCGUUUAAUUGCGCUUUUUACGGUCAAUUAUCUCGUUAGACGGCGGUGCCCCGCUGCUUCCAGAAUGUUAAUCCACGGGGACUGCCGCCGGGCCGGGCACAAGGCGGACGGUGGCGUUUCUUUCCGUAUCGGUGUGCCCCUGCGGUCCCAUAAUCGAGGUGGGGUGGGGUGGGGGUCUGGCGAGAUUCGAACGAGAACUUUUUCACCUGGGCCCCUCAGGAACACCGGGAACCCCGCUGGCGUAAUUAACAUUCGCCACGUUUAGCCGGUCCUCGCCGUGCUUCUUGCCACCGGCCAUGCGCCCCCUCUCCUCUCCGCCCCGAACCUCCCCUCCCCCUCCUCCACCUCCCGCGAGCCAGACGCUGAUUGAGACGUGACUACGGGAUGACGUGCCGCUCCGCCGGCUUUGUUGCGCCAUCGGAAACUCUGUUCGCGCUCCUAGCUAACCGCGUGGUGAGGUUAUGUUGAUUUAACGAUUCCAAAGUAAAAGAUGCGAUUCUUUGUUGCUUUGGUUACUCUUGUUGUAUUGUUUUCGCGUAUAGCUUUCGUUUAGUAUGUGGAUAUUUUAUUUGAUGUGUAGUUACUUUGGAAAUUGUCGAUUGUUAAAAAAUGAUUGUUUGAGGUUAUGUAUGAAUC